CUCUCCCCUCCUCCUCCUCCUCCCUCAAACAUGGCGCUGCUCCUCAGAUUUGUUUCCUCCUCGUCAGUCGAGGGAGGAGAAGCAGACGCGGGUAGAAAAAUCUGCCUCAAGCGUUUUUAACUUUUCUCUCAUUUGUAAACUAACUAACUUCGCGCCGCGUGACCAGCGGACACUUUUACGCACGACGGUUAAAGGAGAAGUCCACGCGUCAGAGAGCUGCCCACCUGUGUGUGUGUGUGUGUGUGUGUGUGUGUGAGGAUGUGACUGCGGUGAUUGACGCGGAGCAGCGGAGCAGACAGGCGGGUCACUGAGCUCACAGCUGCUGCUGGAAGAACCAUGCGCAGCGGCGUGAGGACCAGCGACACCGCGGCCACACGGGACUGAAGUUUCCACAGCAAGCGACGACUUUUCCACGCACGAGGAAGAGGAAGAGGAUGAUGAUGGAGGGAGAACACUCAGAGAGGGAGAAAGAGAGGCUGCCGCCGAUCUACAGCAGCACCGCGCCAGCUGGUUUUGGGGGCGGAGCCAAGCAGCCUCUUCCGUCUCUCAGCAACUUCAUCUCCACGUUCAGCCAGAGGAGGGACGUGGGGGGGCGGGGCUUUGACAGUGGCGGCGUGAUGGGCACGAGCCUGGGACUCAGACACGGGAGAGAACUUCCUCCCAUCUGCAGCGACGUUCGUCAGAAGCAGCGUCUCUGUGUCCAAACGCUGCCCCCGGAGGCCAAAGCUCCGUUCCCCUGCGAGCCCGUCGUCCCUCUGCGAACCAAGACCACCAAAGACUUUCAAGAGGACAUGGACCGAGCCGUCCAAUCAGGCGACUGGAGGGAGGUCCGAGACUUUUACCUGACCACGUUUAACUCCUUCAUGGAACUCAACGCCGCCUUUAAGCGAGAGGCAAACGGAUUGUUCAACACCAUCGAAGAUUCAGGAAUCAACGUCAAGUUUGUCAACACUGUUUAUGACACACUGAUCAACACACCUCAGGACAUCCAGAAGUCAGUGUUGAAAGGAAUCAUCAACAGUUUGCUGAGGGAGUGGAAAGGGCCUCGGACCAAAGACGACCUCCGAGCUUAUUUCAUUCUGGUUCAGAACCCUCAGUAUUCGAGCAGCAGCACCUUCGUGAUCUACGCUCACCUCCUGAGACAGAUCGCAGCUUUGUCUGAGGCUGACCACCAUUUCCUGGUUCACUGGCUCAAAAAGUUGUCUGCACGGAGGUUCAAACAGUUAGUAGAGCGCCUCCUGCAGUUCAUCUCCACUCGCCUGUUUCCUGCAGAUCCUGACGAACUUCCUCCUCUGACCAAGUGUUCAUGGUGGAUCCCAUCUGCUACUAAAGUGCUCAGUCUGUUCAAUGCAGCGAACAGUGUCUCCUCUCCUCCCAUCAUGCCUUUCACCGACUUCUACAACAUCACUCUGGACCACAUGGACUUCAUGGAGGAGUACAGGACCUGGCAGAACUACGGCAACUCGAACAGAUUUUCCUUCUGUCAGUUUCCUUUCAUCCUGUCCACGGUGGUGAAGAAAGCUAUUAUUCAGAAAGACUCAGAGCAACAGAUGAUCAGCCAGGCCAGACAAAGCCUGGUCAGUAAAGUUUCUCGCCGGCAGAGAGUCGACAUGAACCUUCUGUUCCUCAACAUUAAAGUUCGACGAGCACAACUUCUCACUGACUCACUGGAUGAGUUGACGAGGAAACGGUGUGACCUGAAGAAGAAGCUGAAGGUGACGUUUGUCGGGGAGGCGGGGCUUGACAUGGGCGGCCUGACGAAGGAGUGGUUCCUGCUGCUGGUGCGACAGAUCUUCCACACAGACUAUGGUAUGUUCACCUACAUGAAGGACUCACGCUGUCAUUGGUUCAGCAGCUGGAAAUGUGACAACUACUCUGAGUUCCAGUUGGUCGGGACUCUGAUGGGUUUAGCCGUUUACAACAGCAUCGCUCUGGACAUCCACUUCCCCCUCUACUGUUACAGGAAGCUCCUGACUCCGCCCACUGUGCCAUGUGACCAAAAUGCCCUUGUGGGCAUGGCGACCGCAACCCUGGACGACCUGCAGCAGAUCAUGCCAGAGCUGGCUCAUGGGUUGGCAGAGCUGUUGAGCUAUGAGGAAAACGUGGAGGAGGAUUUCUACCUCACUUUCCAGGUGUUACAGGAGGAAAUGGGCAUGGUCAAAUGUUACAACCUGAAGUCUGGAGGAGACAGAAUUCCUGUCACCAAACACAACAGGAAAGAGUACGUCCAGCUCUACAUCGACUUCCUGUUGAAUAAAUCCAUCUAUAAACAGUUUGCUGCCUUUUACCACGGCUUCCACAGUGUGUGUGCGUCUGACGCUCUCAUGCUGCUGAGGCCAGAGGAGGUGGAGAUGUUGGUGUGUGGCAGCCCAGAGUUGGACAUGUGUGCGCUGCAGAGAGCUGCUCAGUACGAAGGCUACAACAAGACUGACGUCACUGUACGCUGUUUCUGGGAUGUCGUCCUCUCGUUCCCUCUGGAGAUGCAGAAGAAGUUCCUUCACUUUGCGACAGGAAGUGACCGCGUCCCUGUGGGAGGAAUGUCUGACCUCAACUUCAAAAUCUCUAAGAUCGACGUUCCGACCGACUGGUAUGUCGUAAAACACGGACUGUAGUCAUGUGAUUGACAGGUGAAACAAUCUUCUACCGCUUUCACCUCCAGCGGAGGGCGUGUGCCAAUGUCAGCUGACGUAAGCCUAGGUUGCCGGUCUCUCACACCUGUUUUAAUCAGAUCUGUUUGCCUCCGUAUCGAAGCAGAAAAGAACUCAAACACAAACUCACCAUCGCCGUCAACAACGCUGAGGGCUUCGGCCUGGAGUGACACACACACACACACACACUCACGCACACACACACGCACAUUAGUGUAGUGAGCACAUGAUCAGUCAUCUUUGAACCACAAAAUGAAUAAAACAUGUGGCCAGAGGUUUUAAACCUGUUGUUGUUGUUGUUUUGGACGUUGCUGUGUGUUUGUUUUGCUGCAGCAGAAAUGUUGUAAUGUAGUGUUUACAAACACAACUAUGUUUGUUUGUUUAUCUUUGAGCAGUAAAGUGAUGAGUCAUCA
RNA transcript from Solea solea (common sole), 3061 nucleotides. It is a transcript of the gene named HECT domain containing 2, with no coding region annotated. The record is from RefSeq and is a predicted model, not a curated record. The transcript is spliced from 22 exons. NCBI's taxonomy places the organism in Eukaryota, Metazoa, Chordata, Actinopteri, Pleuronectiformes, Soleidae.